AUUGAUCCCGUGUUUGAUGGCGUUCCGAAGAUUUUAGUAUCAUCUGCGAACUGCGAGGACUUUGAUGGAGUUCUGCAUGGACUUCGACAUGUCUCAACCAAUGGACAAGGAUAUGUCAGAUUCAGAAAUGGACAGGAUUCUCGAAGAAUAUGGAUUAUAUGAAGAUGAAAUGACAAGAAUUGAGAAACGACAGCUGAUACAGACGUUGGAAGUAUCGAAAAUAUCAGCGCAGUCAGAGCAAGAAAGUCGACUCAAGAAAGAGGAUGACGUAGUUAUUCUUCAGAGUUCGCCUGCGCUGAAGCGUCAUGCGUCCUCUGCAGGGACGAGCAUGACCGAUGCGUCUCCGGGAGCUGAGCCUUCGCCGCUGAUCGGCGGGGCGGCGCUGGCGCAGAGACGGCGACCACUGCGCGCUCCGGCCGGCGCCAGCCGCACAGUCAUCGUGUCAGAACCCGUGCAGCGGGAGUCGCAGACAGCAGACAGCCGGGCUGCAGAUGUGCGGACUGCGGACAGCCGGACAAGCAGCGAGCCGCCCAAACCGCCGGCAGCAGACAGUCGCAGAGUCGUUGUCACAGACACUCGGGAGCGGAAGUCACGGACAUCAGGCAACCAAGAGAAGCGUCUUCGAAGUACAGCAGACACCGACCAGGGGCCUGCUAAGGUAGCGACCACCUCGGGUGGAGCCCGUGACUCGGGAGACAGCUCAGACAGCUCCGAUAGUUCUGUCAAAGAGACCACUGCAGGCCGUCGACGGUCGGCGGCGCGCGACAGUGGAUCGGAGCCUGCGGCGUCGCCGGCUGACAGUGGAUCGGAGCCUGCGGCGUCGCCGGCUGACAGUGGAUCGGAGCCUGCGGCGUCGCCGGCUGACAGUGGAUCGGAGCCUGCGGCGUCGCCGGCUGACAGUGGAUCGGAGCCUGCGGCGUCGCCGGCUGACAGUGGAUCGGAGCCUGCGGCGUCGCCGGCUGACAGUGGAUCGGAGCCUGCGGCGUCGCCGGCUGACAGUGGAUCGGAGCCUGCGGCGUCGCCGGCUGACAGUGGAUCGGAGCCUGCGGCGUCGCCGGCUGACAGUGGAUCGGAGCCUGCGGCGUCGCCGGCUGACAGUCCGCCAGCAUCGCCGCCGCGGCCGAAACUGUACUACGUGAACCACGAGGGCCGUCGGGAGGCGGUGGAGCGCUCGGAGCGCGCCACGCGGCUGCUGGAGCUCCUCUCGGACGGCCGGUCGGUGGAGGAGAAUGUGCACCGCGUGCUGCGUCACCUGGAGCAGCAGCAGGAGCGUGCGCUGGCCGCCGCCGAGCAGCGCACCUGGCAGGACGAUAUACCGCCGUCACGCACCUUCCACGAGUCCAGCCUGCCGUCGCGGCUCGACCCGGCGCGGCUCGAGUACCGGCCGAAGGCACCACUGGCUCGGAAAAGGUCAGCCGCGCCCGACACUGAUAAGGUGCCUGCCGCGCGGAAAAGAUCAGCGGCGCCCGAGUCUGGUAAAAUGCCAGCGACGCGGAGGAAGCCGUCAGUCACGCCCGAACCCGAUAAGACGCCGAGUCCUGAGCCUCCACCAAGUCCGCAACAGCGGCGACCAACAUCGCCGCCGCCCCAGCCGCGUGAGCCGGGGGUUUCCGGCGGUCUGCCGACCGUGGACGGUGGCCGCCAACACUCGCGGGCCAGCCAGCUGCUGCAGCGCGCCAUCGACACACACUCGGCAAAGAAACGGCCGGCCACGACCAAACUGUCACUCAAACUGUCCACCCGGCCUCGCCCAGACGCUGCCGCCGCCGAUGGGUCCAGUCCCCCAGAGCGACCCAGUUCGAGCGGCGGCCCGCUGUCCCGCGGCACUGCGCUGUCCGUGCCGCUGCUUCCGGAGCUAUCUGCGGAGGAGGAGCCACCCUCGGCCGCCGCGCCGCCCGCCCGCCGGCGGCCCGUCUCGCCGGUCGCCGGCCCGUCCGGUCUGGCCAGACAGUCGCGUCGCCGUCUGGCCAGCGCCGAGAUCCGGCCGGCGCCGCUGCGACUGCCGCGUCGGUCACGGCUCGACCAGAACGGCCGCGUCAUGGUGCCGCUGGUAACAAAGGUUCAGGCGCCGGGAGGUCCGUCUAAGCAGCCAGCGGCCUCCGCGCUGACUGCCGGCGUUAACUCUUCGUCUUCGGAUGACGACGGUGGCGCACCGGCGACCAGUCGCGCCCGUGCUACCGGUCGGGGAGGGAGGCUCCCCGCUACCGGUGGGAACCGGUUAGGGUCCUCUGACGCCACCACCGGCCGGCCGGGACCCUCCGAUAUCGGCCGGUCGCGACCCUCCAGUUCUGGUGAUGGUGGCGACGGCGUAUUGGCCACCCCGUCUGGGACAAGUAACGGUGCGGCUGCAGCAGCUUCAGGAGACGCCGCCGGACAGAGGGUGCAGUGUCCGCUCUGUGCUGCCUUCUUCCCCAGCGACAAAAUCGAGGCGCACGCCAGUCGGUGUGAAGGUGACGACGUGAUGGAGAUAGAGGAGAGUCCGUCUCCGCCGAUGCGCCGGUCGGCCACCAACGCCAUCCGCGAACGGUGGCGAGGCGAACGGGGUACCUGAGGACGUCCGGCCGCCAUUGACGGUUCCGCUCACUCCCGUACAGAACGGCAGCGGCCGACACGCGAACACCGGAAUAUUCUCAGGCUCGGGCUUCUCGCCGACGUUCCAGCGGAUCAGCGCGCAGACCGGCUCGUGCA
This 2688-nucleotide unclassified non-coding RNA is filed under the name Amphibalanus amphitrite. RNAcentral describes it as "cRACD-like protein, transcript variant X1". The record is from RNAcentral. Lineage: Eukaryota; Metazoa; Arthropoda; Thecostraca; Balanomorpha; Balanidae.